UUCUGGCCUCAAAUCAGGUGGGACUACCCGCUGAACUUAAGCAUAUCAAUAAGCGGAGGAAAAGAAACUAACAAGGAUUCCCCUAGUAACUGCGAGUGAAGCGGGAUGAGCUCAAAUUUAAAAUCCGGUAGUCUCUGACUGCCUGAAUUGUAAUCUAGAGAAGUGUUUUCUGUGCUGGACUGUGUUCAAGUUUCCUGGAUAUGGAACAUCAUAGAGGGUGAGAAUCCCGUCUUUGACACAGACCCCCCAGUGCUUUAUGAUGCACUCUCA
RNAcentral lists this ribosomal RNA (270 nucleotides) under Hydnum tomaense. RNAcentral's name for it is "partial 28S ribosomal RNA". It matches the Rfam family "Eukaryotic large subunit ribosomal RNA", at positions 1 to 259 of the family's 3401-position model. The record is from RNAcentral. Lineage: Eukaryota; Fungi; Basidiomycota; Agaricomycetes; Cantharellales; Hydnaceae.